RNAcentral lists this ribosomal RNA (744 nucleotides) under uncultured bacterium. Its description in RNAcentral is "bacterial SSU rRNA". It matches the Rfam family "Bacterial small subunit ribosomal RNA", at positions 94 to 823 of the family's 1533-position model. The record is from RNAcentral.
AGCGGCGGAUGGGUGAGUAACACGUGGGGAACCUGCCCCCAAGUCUGGGAUACCAUUUGGAAACAGGUGCUAAUACCGGAUAAUAAAGCAGAUCGCAUGAUCAGCUUUUGAAAGGCGGCGUAAGCUGUCGCUAAGGGAUGGCCCCGCGGUGCAUUAGCUAGUUGGUAAGGUAACGGCUUACCAAGGCGACGAUGCAUAGCCGAGUUGAGAGACUGAUCGGCCACAUUGGGACUGAGACACGGCCCAAACUCCUACGGGAGGCAGCAGUAGGGAAUCUUCCACAAUGGACGCAAGUCUGAUGGAGCAACGCCGCGAGAGUGAAGAAGGUUUUCGGAUCGUAAAGCUCUGUUGUUGGUGAAGAAGGAUAGAGGUAGUAACUGGCCUUUAUUUGACGGUAAUCAACCAGAAAGUCACGGCUAACUACGUGCCAGCAGCCGCGGUAAUACGUAGGUGGCAAGCGUUGUCCGGAUUUAUUGGGCGUAAAGCGAGCGCAGGCGGAAAAAUAAGUCUAAUGUGAAAGCCCUCGGCUUAACCGAGGAACUGCAUCGGAAACUGUUUUUCUUGAGUGCAGAAGAGGAGAGUGGAACUCCAUGUGUAGCGGUGGAAUGCGUAGAUAUAUGGAAGAACACCAGUGGCGAAAGGCGGCUCUCUGGUCUGCAACUGACGCUGAGGCUCGAAAGCAUGGGUAGCGAACAGGAUUAGAUACCCUGGGUAGUCCAUGCCGUAACGAUGAGUGCUAAGUGU